UCUAGGCAUUAUGGGGACCGCUGGAUUAAGGCGACAAAAAUUGGUCUCCUUAAUAUUUUCAGUCCAGAUUUGAUGUAUCAAAUGUCAAUAAAAAUGUCCAUUGACAGUAAGUUGAUAAGCUUGAAUGUUUAUUUACGAGAUCAUUUCAUUGUUUUAAAUCUUAUUAUCUUUUAAUAUUAAAAAAAAUAUUCUUAAACUUUUGUGUGUGUAUAUUUGUGUAUCCAUAAAAAUAGCUAUUAAGGCGACCAGGGAAAAAAUCAUAAUUUUGGUCAAAAAUAGCUAUAUACUAAGCAUUUUUUAUUUGUUUUACUUUAUUUAAAGCCUAUUGUAUAAUAUCCCGAAGUUUCAUUCCAUAAAAUACAGAAAUAAGGAAAUUCGAUAUUUCGUGUACCAUCAACAUCCAAAUUUUCAAGUAUACAGAAAUUUAACUUUCCGGAAUAUAACGGAAAUUUUUGGGUAUCUCCGUGGUACCAUCUCCGUGCAAUUAUGCAGUAUGGCGUUCAUCUCUUACGGAAAGAGAAUGGUAACUUGGUAAGUGUUUAAAAUACAUAUUCAACGUUUUUUCGUUUAUUUUUAUGACUUUUGUACAGUAGUAUAAAUCGUCCACCCUUUGGAUGAAAAGCAAAUGAUUUAUCCGGAUUUUGUUCAUCCGAAACUAAAUCACUAGUAUCAACAUCCGGUGUAAUUUUUGCUUGUAUUUUGGAGAAACUCGAUUGAUUUCUAACAAACUUGGUUUACCACUACAUCGUCGCUUAUUAUUAUUUGUUGCUGCUUGGGACAAUAAAGUUAAGUCAGCAACCGUCUACCAGACUGCAAGAUUCAUCUCUUCCAAAGGAUGUCGUACCUUUCCAGAUACACUGUGUUUUGUGUGGAUAAGAAAUGCAGAGUGGUACCACCAAUCACCUAAGCCACCAUUCCCCUAACAGACAAUAGGCUCAUGGGGACAGUUCCUGCAAUUUACAGAAAAGCUCUCAAUUGUAGCCCUACGAACAUCAGAUACUGCCAAUGGUGAAGCUUGGGUGCACCGGGCCGGUUUUCCAGCCGUGUGGAAUCAACAUCUCCAGCUGAACUGGGGCCGGGAAUUAUAUAAGACUCCUUAGCAGCAUGAGUGCCAGCCAGUCAUUGCUGUUCUUUUCAUUGCUGAGGAGGACAGUCCUGCCAACAUAACAGUUUGUUCAAUAACAGGAGACAAACAGAAACACAGAGGUGCUAUACAUUCUGAUUGAAAAACAAAAGCUUCUCCCAUCAUUUUGGCGUGGCUCAGAUCAAGAGGAGAAUUUUAAGAAAGGUGAUGAUUGGGCACACACAAGAAGACAUAGAUCACAGGUGUCUAGCCAUAUGAGUAGAUAGGAGUGUCACACUCUGCCAAACUUACUUCAUCAGACGAGCAGAAAGCUUCUCAAGAUCCCGCACUGCACACUAAGACAUAGUCUUUGACUACAACAAGGUGAUGAAAGUACAGAGAGGUCCAAUUGAAAUCAAUUCUGUGCUGCGUCAUUUCUUCAUUCUGGAAGUCGAUGGACGUGAUUUAUCAUGGCAUAAAGUGUGCAGUUUGCCGACUAUCAGCAGUCUUGUUCACCAGCUGUGCAACUUGAGCUGGUAGCUUUAUUGCUUGAAGCCACUGCACAAGAGGGGGAAGGUGCAGGCUCAUCAAAAAGUCUCAAAAGUUGAAACUAGGAAAAGAAGUUUAUCAAGAGUGUGAAUCUAUUUUGAAAACAAUCGUUACAAUGAUUUGGUUUCCUUUGAAACUUGAUACAUACUAUGAAUUGAGAUGCUUAAAUAAAAAACCGCUAUUCAAAUAUCAGGAAACUGCCUUUUUCAUACUAAAGGGUAAAUGAUGUCGCCAUUUCCUGUAUGUAUUUAAAUAAGAUAUGUCUCCACAAUUAAUAUUUUUAAGGAAUUUUUCUCAACCUAAUGAAUGAGAUUAAAUUGUACAGCGUUAUAUGAGCUUAAUAUGUGUUUUCUCAUUCUUUAAAAUUGGUGAAAAAUUGUCAGAAGAUAAUUAGACCAGUAUCCAUUACUGCAAUCAUACAAUCAAAUAUACAGGGACAAGCCCACUGGGCAUAUAAUAUAAUUAAACCCUGUUUAGGGGCACGAGGCAAACAGAGUUACUUUCAAACGUUAAAGCUGCACUCUCACACUUUAGAUGUUUUGACAACCUUUUUCAUUUUAUGUCUUGGAUUGGAACCAUCCAAUUUUUGCGAAAAAUUAAAUCCCAGAUUUUUCUAUUUAAGUUAAAACAUUGAUGUUUUUCAUGCACUUUUCUUAAACCGUUAGUAACAUUAAUUUUCGAACGGAAAUAUGAAAUCUGCGAUCUGAUCUUUUGUCAGCAAUCUUUUAUCAUUGGUUUGCAGAUAAUUACGCAAAAACUUGCUCAUUCCAAGACAAAAAAAGUUGUGGAAACGGUAUAUCUGUGAGAGUGCAGCUCUAAAUGUUUAAUUGCUUGAUUUUAGUACUGUAUUAGAAAUUACAGGGAUUGGGGUAUAUUUUUAGUGUUUUUAUUGCUUGUUUUUGAUUCAUACAGUCAUACUUUAUUCUUCAGGGCACAACUUACAAAUAGACAAAACUGGAAAAUGGUCAUAUCAAAAGGUCAAAGAUAAUGCAAGUUGAACAAUCAUAUUGUUCAUGGCUUGUAUUUUUGGUAUAUUUUGUUGCAUAUGCUAUAGAAAAGUUGAAAGUUAAAAAUAAAUUCAUAGUUGAAAUGAUGGCUUUGAAUGGUAUUGUCAGAUGAGAAACGGCACUAUUAAGAAAUAGGUAUAAUGGUACUUUAUUUAUUUUAAUCAAUUUUAGAUAUUAUGAAAAUUAUUAUCUUAUUUAGUACAUGAGACCUUUUAAACAGUUAUUGACAAUAUAACAAUGUGUAUAUGAAGCUUUAGAUCAACACUUAAAGCUGCACUCUUACAGAUUGUCAGUUUAGACACAAAAUUGUCUCAAAAUCGGCUGAUUUGGUUAUCAUUCCUUUAAUUCAGUCAUAUUAGAUUAUUCACAAUAGAACCAAUCAAAAAUGUUUGGUAAAACUGCCGAAAAGUUCAUUUACAUUAAAUUGUUCGUAAUGCUUUUAGUCAUAAAACAUCAUUUUUUUAAACAUAAAUAUGAUGAACUGCAAUCUGAUCUUUUUUCAGCAGUCUUAUAUCACUUAAAAUUGGGUCUAGACAUUUCUGCAAAAAAUACUCCAUUAAUAGACGAUCAAUAAAAGAGUACCGGUAGUCAAAACGAUCAAUCGGUGAGAUUGCAGCUUUAAAUACACCUUUUAAGACCGCUGUAAAAUUCCAAUGGUUUGCCUAAAUCUUUAAAGCUAGCAUACUGUUUAAUUGACAACCAUACUUAUUGUUUAAAAGUGUCAUGAUAUCUUUGUACAAUGUUUUUAUAUAAUUCAUUAAAGAAGUCAAUACAAAUU
Mya arenaria is the source of this 3397-nucleotide long non-coding RNA. RefSeq lists it as uncharacterized. NCBI's taxonomy places the organism in Eukaryota, Metazoa, Mollusca, Bivalvia, Myida, Myidae. The transcript is spliced from 7 exons. The record is from RefSeq and is a predicted model, not a curated record.